UACGUAGGGGGCGAGCGUUGUCCGGAUUUAUUGGGCGUAAAAGGCUUGUAGGUGGCCACGUCAAGUCGGAUGUGAAAUCUCCCGGCUCAACUGGGAGGGGUCAUUCGAUACUGGCGGGCUCGAGGCCGGUAGGGGGAAGCGGAAUUCCCGGUGUAGUGGUGGAAUGCGUAGACAUCGGGAGGAACACCAGUGGCGAAGGCGGCUUCCUGGACCGGUUCUGACACUGAGGAGCGAAAGCGUGGGGAGCGAACAGG
This 254-nucleotide ribosomal RNA is filed under the name uncultured bacterium. RNAcentral's name for it is "partial 16S ribosomal RNA". It matches the Rfam family "Bacterial small subunit ribosomal RNA", at positions 524 to 776 of the family's 1533-position model. The record is from RNAcentral.